This 404-nucleotide unclassified non-coding RNA is filed under the name soil metagenome. Its description in RNAcentral is "partial contains 5.8S ribosomal RNA, internal transcribed spacer 2, and large subunit ribosomal RNA". The stretch from base 1 to 122 matches the Rfam family "5.8S ribosomal RNA", at positions 35 to 154 of the family's 154-position model. The record is from RNAcentral.
GAUGAAGAACGUAGCAAAAUGCGAUACUUGGCGUGAAUUGCAGAAUCCCGUGAACCAUCGAGUUUUUGAACGCAAGUUGCGCCCGAAGCCUUUUGGCCGAGGGCACGUCUGCCUGGGCGUCACGCAUCGCGUCGCCCCCCACAAUUCUCCGUAAAGGGAACAUGUGUUUUGGGGGUGGAUAUUGGUCUCCCGUGCUCAUGGCGUGGUUGGCCGAAAUAGGAGUCCUUUCGAUGGACGCACGAACUAGUGGUGGUCGUAAAAACCCUCGUCUUUUGUUUCGUGCUGUUGGUCGCAAGGUAAACUCUUUAAAAACCCCAAUGUGUCGUCUCUUGACGACGCUUCGACCGCGACCCCAGGUCAGGCGGGACUACCCGCUGAGUUUAAGCAUAUCAAUAAGCGGAGGA